UUACAACAAAAACCCCCCUUCGAAUAAAGGCAUUUCUCUAAUCUGACAAUCUCAAUCAAUUAAUUAAUGUUGCAUAAAUUACAAGUACACCAACAUUCAUCAUCUUUAAGAUGCCAGUCGGCUUCAGACACAUAUACUCCUUGCUCGUGUUAUGUCCCUAUCUUCAAAACCUUUCAAAAAUGAUCUGAUUCCAAGGUGCUCAGAAGCAUACGUCAUGAAAGAUGCCAAAACAAUGCCUCCAGCAGCCACCAAGCCUAACCUCAAAAAAAGAGCAGUAAUCCCAAAAAUACAUGGCAAAGCUGGGGCAGCAACAGCCAGAAAUGCCAUUCCUAACCCAUAAUACCAAGCAGCAACAUCACAAGAUGAUCCUUGCCGUAGAUGGCCUUUUCCAGAAUCACAAUCAAGAGAUUCAGGAAGUGAGGGAAGAGAUACUUGAGCAGCUGUCAUCUUUCCCCAAAUAUAGGUCAAACGAAGAAAACCUCCAAAUAAAAGGAAGAAGAUCGUGAAUGUCCACUCAUACAUUAAGAGCAA
Molecule: unclassified non-coding RNA, 531 nt
Filed under: Hevea brasiliensis (rubber tree)
Lineage: Eukaryota; Viridiplantae; Streptophyta; Magnoliopsida; Malpighiales; Euphorbiaceae
Source: RNAcentral